This is an RNA transcript of Otolemur garnettii (small-eared galago), 2552 nucleotides long. It is a transcript of the gene named prolyl 3-hydroxylase 3, with no coding region annotated. The transcript has 16 exons. NCBI's taxonomy places the organism in Eukaryota, Metazoa, Chordata, Mammalia, Primates, Galagidae. The record is from RefSeq and is a predicted model, not a curated record.
UCCCUCUCUGUUCCCGCAUUUCCUUUCGGCAGCCAGCCGGCCACUCUGGCACCAUGCUCUGGCUCCUAAGGCUGCUGUUGCUGCUGCUGCUGCUGCCUCCCCCUGGGUCCCCUGAGCCCCCCGGCCUGGCCCCGGUGUUCCCGGGAGCGCCGCCGCAGGCCCCCGACUUGCUCUAUGCCGACGGGCUGCGCGCCUACUCGGCCGGUGCCUGGGCGCCCGCCGUGGCGCUGCUGCGGGAGGCGCUGCGAAGCUGGGCGGAGCUGGGCCGCGCGCGGCGGGACUGCGGGGCUAGCUGUGCGGCCGAGCCUGGCGCCGCGCUUCCCUUCGUGCUGCUAGGCGCCACGAGCCCCGACUUGGGGCCGGGACCGGCCCAGGGGUCCUGGGAGCGGCUGCUCCUCCGCGCCGCCCUCCGCCGCGCUGAGUGCCUGACCCAGUGCGCCGCGCGGAGGCUAGGCCCCGGGGGCGCGGCGCGACUUCGCGUGGGGAGCGCGCUCCGGGACGCCUUCCGCCGUCGAGAGCCCUACAACUACCUUCAAGGGGCCUACUACAAGCUGAAGAAGCUGGACCUGGCGGCAGCUGCAGCACACACCUUCUUUGUAGCAAACCCAACACACCUGCAGAUGCGGGAGGACAUGGCUAAGUACAGACGAAUGUCUGGGGUCCAGCCCCAGAGCUUCCGAGACCUGGAGACUCCUCCACACUGGGCAGCCUAUGACACUGGCUUGGAGCUACUGAGGCGCCAGGAAGCAGGACUGGCACUGCCUAGGCUAGAGGAGGCCCUGCAGGGGAGCCUGGCUCAGAUGGAGAGUUGCCGGGCAGGCUGUGAGGGCCCUGAGGAGCAGCAAGGGGCAGGAGAGGAGGAGGAAGGGGCUGGGAGCCAAGGGGGCCUCUAUGAGGCCAUUGCAGGACAUUGGAUUCGGGUCCUACAGUGCCGGCAGCGCUGCGUGGGAGAAACAGCCACACGUCCUGGUCGAAGCUUCCCUGUCCCUGAUUUUCUUCCCAGCCAGCUGAGGUGGCUGCAUGAAACCUAUGCUCAGGUUGGCAAUCUAUCCCAGGCUGUGGAAAAUGUCUUGAGUGUCCUGCUCUUCUAUCCGGAGGAUGAGGCUGCCAAGAGUGCUCUGAACAAGUACCAGGCCCAGAUAGGAGAGCCAAGACCUGGCCUCGGGCCAAGAGAGGACAUCCAGCACUUCUUCCUUCGGUCCCUAGGGGAGAAGAGGCAGCUCUACUAUGCUAUGGAGCACCUGGGGAUCAACUUCACAGAUCCUGAUCCCUGGACCCCUGCAGCUCUCAUCCCUGAGACACUUAGAGAAAAGCUAAGAGAGGAUCAAGAGAAGAGGCCUUGGGACCAUGAGCCUCCUCAGCCAAAGCCCUUGACCUACUGGAAAGAUGUUCUCCUCCUGGAGGGAGUGACCCUGACCCAGGACGCCAGGCAAUUGAACGGGUCAGAGCGGGCAGUGUUGGAUGGGCUGCUUACCCCAGCCGAGUGUGGGGUGCUGCUGCAGCUUGCCAAGGAUGCAGCUGGGGCUGGAGCCAGAUCUGGCUAUCGUGGUCGCCGUUCCCCACAUACCCCCCAUGAACGCUUCGAGGGGCUCACUGUGCUAAAGGCUGUGCAGCUGGCCCGGGCUGGGACGAUAGGCAGUCAGGGCGCAAAGCUGCUUCUGGAGGUGAGCGAGCGUGUGCGAACCGUGACACAGGCUUACUUCUCCCCUGAACGGCCCUUGCAUCUUUCCUUCACCCACCUGGUAUGCCGUAGUGCCAUAGAAGGAGAGCAAGAGCAGCGCAUGGACUUGAGUCACCCAGUGCAUGCAGACAACUGUGUCCUGGACCCUGAUACCGGAGAGUGCUGGCGGGAGCCCCCAGCCUAUACCUAUCGAGACUAUAGUGGACUCCUCUACCUCAAUGAUGACUUCCAGGGCGGGGACCUGUUCUUCACAGAGCCCAACGCCCUCACUGUCACGGCCCAGGUGCGUCCUCGCUGUGGACGCCUCGUGGCUUUUAGUUCCGGUGGGGAAAAUCCCCAUGGUGUGUGGGCUGUGACACGGGGACGGCGCUGCGCCCUGGCACUGUGGCACACAUGGGCCCCUGAGCACAGGGAGCAGGAGUGGACAGAAGCCAAAGAGCUACUGCGAGAGUCAGAGGAAGAAGAGGAAUCAGAGGAAGAGGAAGAGGAAGAAAUGCCCAGCAGAGAUCCUUCCCCAGAACCCCCAAGCCAUAGGCUUCAUCGAGUCCAAGACAAGACUGGAAAGCCAGCUCGGAUCCGGGAGGAGCUAUGAAUGGCUGACCCAGCUUCUUGAAGAUGUGGCCACUUGACUUGUGAAAUGCCACCCUGAUGCCAGGACCUAUAAGAAGUCCCCAUGUGUUAGGCAUUAUGGAUCAGGCCCAGGGGCAGCUGGUUGGGGUUUGUCAAGAAGAAGGAUUAUCCAGAUCAGUCCCUUCUAAUCUCAGCUCCUGCCUGUACCCUCCCAUGUUCAUCAUAACCCUCUUCCCCCACCUCCCUGCACUAAGGAACACAAUCUGAGGUAUUGAUAUUGGGACCAUCUAUCACCCUCGUA